CCAAUAAGAUAUCCCAGCAUGCAUAUAGAAACACUUAUGAAGCUUAAAAAACUAAGCAGGGCUGAGUCUGGUCAGUAUCUGGAUGGGAGACCACAUGGGAACAUUAGCUUGCUGUUGGC
RNAcentral lists this ribosomal RNA (119 nucleotides) under Danio rerio (zebrafish). Lineage: Eukaryota; Metazoa; Chordata; Actinopteri; Cypriniformes; Danionidae. The record is from RNAcentral.